RNAcentral lists this ribosomal RNA (460 nucleotides) under uncultured bacterium. Its description in RNAcentral is "partial 16S ribosomal RNA". It matches the Rfam family "Bacterial small subunit ribosomal RNA", at positions 338 to 795 of the family's 1533-position model. The record is from RNAcentral.
CCUACGGGUGGCAGCAGUGAGGAAUAUUGGUCAAUGGCCGGCAGGCUGAACCAGCCAAGUCGCGUGAGGGAGUAAGGCCCUAUGGGUCGUAAACCUCUUUUGUCAGGGAGCAAAGGCGUCCACGUGUGGACGGGAGAGGAGUACCGGAAGAAAAAGCAUCGGCUAACUCCGUGCCAGCAGCCGCGGUAAUACGGAGGAUGCGAGCGUUAUCCGGAUUUAUUGGGUUUAAAGGGUGCGUAGGCGGACUGUCAAGUCAGCGGUAAAAUUUCGGGGCUCAACCCCGUCCUGCCGUUGAAACUGGCGGCCUUGAGUGAGUGAGAAGUAAGCGGAAUGCGUGGUGUAGCGGUGAAAUGCAUAGAUAUCACGCAGAACGCCGAUUGCGAAGGCAGCUUACCGGCGCCAAACUGACGCUGAGGCACGAAAGUGCGGGUAUCGAACAGGAUUAGAUACCCGUGUAGUC